Molecule: ribosomal RNA, 1607 nt
Filed under: sediment metagenome
Description: bacterial LSU rRNA
Rfam family: Archaeal large subunit ribosomal RNA
Source: RNAcentral
GUUCAUAGCUGUGGCAAGCUUAAGGGUUAGAAACCCGUAGGCGUAGGGAAACCAACAUGCACGCAACCAGCUUGUCUGGCUAGGUGCGGAGUCUGAAAGGGCUCGGAGUCACAGCUUUGAGACUAGAAACCAGGCGAUCUAGCCCUGGGCAGGGCGAAGCUAGGCGAAAGCCUAGUGGAGGCUCGCAAGGGUGCUGACGUGCAAAUCGUUCUUCAGACCUGGGGCUAGGGGCUAAAGACCAAUCUAGCCUGGUGAUAUCUAGUUCCCUCCAAAGUGGGUCGCAGCCCAGUGCCGGACGAGGCGGCUGAUGGGGUAGAGCACUGAUUAGGAAGUAAGGAUCCGAAAGGGUCCAUUUCUUUUUCAAACUCCGAAUCUAUCAGCGUCGUAGACUCUGGUAAACGGGUUAGUGGGGGUAAGCUCCACGACCGAGAGGGGGACAACCCAGACUGAGGUUAAGGUCCCCAAAUGCUGGCCAAAUGUCAAACUAAAGGGCGUCGUCAGCCUCAGACAGCGGGGAGGUAGGCUCAGAAGCAGCCACCCUUCAAAGAAAGCGUAACAGCUCACCCGCCGAGGCUGACGGCCCCGAAAAUUGACGGGGCUAAGCCAGCCACCGAGACCUCAGAGCGCAACCUAGUGUUGCGUUGGUAGGAAGGCGUCCUGACUGGGCAGAAGCUGGGCCGUGAGGUCCAGUGGACCGGAUCAGGAUUGCAGAUCCCGGCGGUAGUAACAGCUAAGAGGGGUGAGACUCCCCUCCGCCGAAAGGGCCAGGGUUCCCCGGCAACGAUCGUCAGCCGGGGGUAAGUCGGUCCUAAGAUUUGGCCUAACCGACCAUGUCGAAAGGGAAUCCGGUUAAAAUUCCGGAACCACGAAGGUACGCGCGGCAACGCAAGCUCAACGUCUGACGCUUCGAGGUAGGCUGAGCAAGGCUGUCGCCUUGUUUAACCAUAUAAGUCUGGGAAGUGCCGUAAUGGCGAGAACCAGGUGAAAGCGGGAAUAGCCGCCCGUUUUAGGGCGGUUCAGCCAAUUCUUGGAGCCAGUGAAAAGGGCGUUGGGAUGGACCCUUCGUGUCCGUACCUAGAACCGACACAGGUGUCCCAAGGCGAGAAACCUAAGGCGUGUCGGGUAUACACUAUUGCGAGGGAACUCGGCAAUCUAGCCCCGUACCUUUGGUAUAAGGGGUGCCUGCAGUUUCGGCCUUUGGCUGGAACAGCAGGUCGCAGUGACAAGGGGGUCCCGACUGUUUAAUAAAAACACAGGAAACCGCAAGCGCGAAAGCGUGUGAAUGGUUUCUGAAUCCUGGCCAGUACAGGUACCUGAAACCUGGGUCCAACCGGGCCAAGGGCCUGCAAACGCCGGGAGUAACUCUGACUCUCUCAAGGUAGCCAAAUGCCUUGUCGGGUAAGUUCCGACGUGCAUGAAUGGAUCAACGAGGGCCCCGCUGUCCCCACGUAGUACCCGGUGAAACCACAUAACGUGGACGAACAGUCCACGAACUCCCAGCGGGAAAAGAAGUCCCUGUGGAGUUUUACUGCAGCCUGCUGCUGGAAUACGUUUGCGGAUGCAGAGCGUAGACGGGAGCCGUUAAUCCCAGUUUCUCAGGGAACUGG